GAUGAACGCUGGCGGCGUGCCUAAUACAUGCAAGUCGAACGCUGGAGAUCUAGCUUGCUAGAUCGAAGGAGUGGCGAACGGGUGAGUAAUACAUAAGCAACCUACCCACGAAGACUGGGAUAAUCUCUGGAAACGGGGACUAAUACCGGAUAGGUAAUCGGAAGGCAUCUUCUGGUUAUUAAAGGUUAAAAACACUGGUGGAUGGGCUUAUGGCGCAUUAGUUAGUUGGUGAGGUAACGGCCCACCAAGACGAUGAUGCGUAGCCGGCCUGAGAGGGUGAACGGCCACAUUGGGACUGAGACACGGCCCAGACUCCUACGGGAGGCAGCAGUAGGGAAUUUUCGGCAAUGGGGGCAACCCUGACCGAGCAACGCCGCGUGAGUGAAGACGGCCUUCGGGUUGUAAAGCUCUGUUGUAAGGGAAGAACGAUAGAUAGAGAAUAUCUAAGUGACGGUACCUUACCAGAAAGCCACGGCUAACUACGUGCCAGCAGCCGCGGUAAUACGUAGGUGGCGAGCGUUAUCCGGAAUUAUUGGGCGUAAAGGGUGCGUAGGCGGCCUGUUAAGUAAGUGGUUAAAUUGUUGGGCUCAACCCAAUCCAGCCACUUAAACUGGCAGGCUAGAGUAUUGGAGAGGCAAGUGGAAUUCCAUGUGUAGCGGUAAAAUGCGUAGAUAUAUGGAGGAACACCAGUGGCGAAGGCGGCUUGCUAGCCAAAGACUGACGCUCAUGCACGAAAGCGUGGGGAGCAAAUAGG
RNAcentral lists this ribosomal RNA (754 nucleotides) under uncultured Bulleidia sp. RNAcentral describes it as "bacterial SSU rRNA". It matches the Rfam family "Bacterial small subunit ribosomal RNA", at positions 28 to 776 of the family's 1533-position model. Lineage: Bacteria; Bacillati; Bacillota; Erysipelotrichia; Erysipelotrichales; Erysipelotrichaceae. The record is from RNAcentral.